RNAcentral lists this ribosomal RNA (1299 nucleotides) under Triticum aestivum (bread wheat). RNAcentral describes it as "partial small subunit ribosomal RNA". The record is from RNAcentral. Lineage: Eukaryota; Viridiplantae; Streptophyta; Magnoliopsida; Poales; Poaceae.
UUGGAGGAGCAGCGGAUGAAGCAGGUGAAGGCGCGGGCCAUCCACACCGCCCUCGCCGCCGGCACCACCCAUGGCGGGUCCUCGGCGCCUCCCGCUGCCCCGGCCGCGCCCCUGCCGCAGCGCCACCUGGCGCCGCUGCCGUACCCGGCGCCCCAGCAAUCGGGGCUGCUCCCGCUGCCUUAUGGGUCGCCCGCCCCUCCCGCAGAACGGCGCCGCGGGGGCCGGCGUGGUGGGGGCCACCGCGGCGGUCAGCAGCAGCAGCCGCAGGGCGCCGGCCAGCCCCGUCAGCAGCAGCAGCAGCAGUUCCAGGUGCCCCCUCCGUGGGCCUCCGGCUACAACCCGUGGACCAGUGUUGUUCAUACCCACACCAUGCCGGUUCCACGGGCUCCUGGACCGACCCUUCCCGUGCCGCGCCCGUCGGCGCAUCAGGCGUAUUACGCGGCUCCGCAGCCGUACGGAGGAUACCCACUGCUGCAGCUGAGCGGCGCCUACGGUCUUCCUGCGGCCCCGCCGCCGCCCUUGCCGGCCCUGCCGCCGGCGCCUUGGGAUCCGGUGCUCCUCGCUGCGCUGCACACCGCGCCUACGCCGAACAACUACACUGGAGGCGGUGAUUGGUACAUGGACACCGGGGCUACGGCUCACAUGUUUGCUUAUCCUGAUAAUCUUGCCUCCUUCACUCCCGUCACCACCGAUCGGCGCAUCAUUGUCGGCGACGGUUCCACACUCCCUAUCACACAUGUCGGGCACACUUCUUUUCCUUCUAAUUCCAUGCCUAUUACUUUGUCUAACAUACUACUGUCACCUCAUCUUAUUAAGAACCUUGUUUUCGUUCGUUGUUUAACUCGUGAAAAUCCUGUUACUGUUGAAUUUGAUGAGCCUGGUUUUUGUGUCAAGGACGCUCGAACCAGGAUGGUACUUCACCGAUGUGACAGCCUCGACGAGCUCUAUCCGGUGCAUCCGCCGUCCACACCGGUUGCUCUCUCCGCCGGUGUCAAUCUCUGGCACGCUCGUUUGGGUCAUCCCAACCCAGUCACACUUCGUCAUAUUCUUAGGAGUUUCAGUUUCAGUUGUAAUAAGAUAGAGGAUCACACCUGUCAUGUCUGUCGUGUCGGCAAACAUGUUCGCCUCCCAUUUAAUAACUCCACCACCAUAGCUUCUUUUCCUUUUCAGUUGAUUCAUAGCGAUGUGUGGACCUCUCCGGUUCCUAGUAAUUCGGGCUAUUUAUAUUAUCUGGUUAUCCUUGAUGAUUAUUCUCACUAUGUGUGGACGUUUUCUUUACGACGAAAGUCGGAUGCACUC